CUUGCUUGGUGGAUCAGUGGCGAACGGGUGAGUAACACGUGAGCAACCUGCCCUGGACUCUGGGAUAAGCGCUGGAAACGGCGUCUAAUACUGGAUAUGAGCUCUCAUCGCAUGGUGGGGGUUGGAAAGAUUUUUUGGUCUGGGAUGGGCUCGCGGCCUAUCAGCUUGUUGGUGAGGUAAUGGCUCACCAAGGCGUCGACGGGUAGCCGGCCUGAGAGGGUGACCGGCCACACUGGGACUGAGACACGGCCCAGACUCCUACGGGAGGCAGCAGUGGGGAAUAUUGCACAAUGGGCGAAAGCCUGAUGCAGCAACGCCGCGUGAGGGAUGACGGCCUUCGGGUUGUAAACCUCUUUUAGCAGGGAAGAAGCGAAAGUGACGGUACCUGCAGAAAAAGCGCCGGCUAACUACGUGCCAGCAGCCGCGGUAAUACGUAGGGCGCAAGCGUUAUCCGGAAUUAUUGGGCGUAAAGAGCUCGUAGGCGGUUUGUCGCGUCUGCUGUGAAAUCCCGAGGCUCAACCUCGGGCCUGCAGUGGGUACGGGCAGACUAGAGUGCGGUAGGGGAGAUUGGAAUUCCUGGUGUAGCGGUGGAAUGCGCAGAUAUCAGGAGGAACACCGAUGGCGAAGGCAGAUCUCUGGGCCGUAACUGACGCUGAGGAGCGAAAGGGUGGGGAGCAAACAGGCUUAGAUACCCUGGUAGUCCACCCCGUAAACGUUGGGAACUAGUUGUGGGGACCAUUCCACGGUUUCCGUGACGCAGCUAACGCAUUAAGUUCCCCGCCUGGGGAGUACGGCCGCAAGGCUAAAACUCAAAGGAAUUGACGGGGACCCGCACAAGCGGCGGAGCAUGCGGAUUAAUUUGAUGCAACGCGAAGAACCUUACCAAGGCUUGACAUACACCAGAACGGGCCAGAAAUGGUCAACUCUUUGGACACUGGUGAACAGGUGGUGCAUGGUUGUCGUCAGCUCGUGUCGUGAGAUGUUGGGUUAAGUCCCGCAACGAGCGCAACCCUCGUUUUAUGUUGCCAGCACGUAAUGGUGGGAACUCAUGGGAUACUGCCGGGGUCAACUCGGAGGAAGGUGGGG
This 1086-nucleotide ribosomal RNA is filed under the name Microbacterium testaceum. Its description in RNAcentral is "partial 16S ribosomal RNA". It matches the Rfam family "Bacterial small subunit ribosomal RNA", at positions 79 to 1178 of the family's 1533-position model. Lineage: Bacteria; Bacillati; Actinomycetota; Actinomycetes; Micrococcales; Microbacteriaceae. The record is from RNAcentral. RNAcentral also lists the same sequence under 1 other name.